Molecule: ribosomal RNA, 1518 nt
Filed under: metagenome
Description: bacterial SSU rRNA
Rfam family: Bacterial small subunit ribosomal RNA
Source: RNAcentral
AGAGUUUGAUCCUGGCUCAGAAUGAACGCUGGCGGCGUGCUUAACACAUGCAAGUCGUACGAGAACGCUUCAGCUUGCUGAAGCAAGUAAAGUGGCGCACGGGUGAGUAAUGCGUGGGUAAUCUACCUUCGAAUCGGGGAUAACUUCGCGAAAGCGGGGCUAAUACCGGAUAACAUCUAUUGGAUUCAGGUCUGUAAGAUCAAAGGUGGCCUCUACAUGUAAGCUACCGUUCGGGGAUGAGCCCGCGUACCAUUAGCUUGUUGGUGGGGUAACGGCCUACCAAGGCUACGAUGGUUAGCUGGUCCGAGAGGAUGAUCAGCCACACUGGAACUGACACACGGUCCAGACUCCUACGGGAGGCAGCAGUGAGGAAUUUUGCGCAAUGGGGGAAACCCUGACGCAGCAACGCCGCGUGAGUGAUGAAGGCCUUCGGGUCGUAAAGCUCUGUCAAGUGGGAAGAACCUGGUCUAUGCCAAUACCAUAGAUCACUGACGGUACCACUGAAGGAAGCACCGGCUAACUCCGUGCCAGCAGCCGCGGUAAUACGGGGGGUGCAAGCGUUAUUCGGAAUCACUGGGCGUAAAGGGCGCGCAGGCGGUUUGGUUAGUCAGAUGUGAAAGCCCGGGGCUCAACCCCGGAAGUGCAUUUGAUACUACCUAACUUGAGUAUGGGAGAGGGAAGUGGAAUUCCUGGUGUAGAGGUGAAAUUCGUAGAUAUCAGGAGGAACACCGGUGGCGAAGGCGACUUCCUGGACCAAUACUGACGCUGAGGCGCGAAGGCGUGGGGAGCAAACAGGAUUAGAUACCCUGGUAGUCCACGCAGUAAACGGUGAACACUAGGUGUAGCGUGUUGACCCCUGCUGUGCCGGAGCUAACGCAUUAAGUGUUCCGCCUGGGAAGUACGGCCGCAAGGUUAAAACUCAAAGGAGUUGACGGGGGCCCGCACAAGCGGUGGAGCAUGUGGUUUAAUUCGACGCAACGCGAAGAACCUUACCUGGGUUUGACAUCCCGAGAAGUCUCUUGAAAUUGAGAUGUGCCCUUCGGGGAAUUCGGUGACAGGUGCUGCAUGGCUGUCGUCAGCUCGUGUCGUGAGAUGUUGGGUUAAGUCCCGCAACGAGCGCAACCCCUAUCUUUAGUUACCAGCAUUUAGUUGGGGACUCUAGAGAUACUGCCCCGGUCAACGGGGAGGAAGGUGGGGAUGACGUCAAGUCCUCAUGGCCCUUAUGCCCAGGGCUACACACGUGCUACAAUGGGCUGUACAAAGGGUUGCGACCCCGCGAGGGUUAGCUAAUCCCAAAAAACAGUCCUUAGUUCGGAUUGGAGUCUGCAACUCGACUCCAUGAAGCUGGAAUCGCUAGUAAUCGUGGAUCAGCAUGCCACGGUGAAUACGUUCCCGGCCUUGUACACACCGCCCGUCACACCAUGAGAGUUGGUUGUACCAGAAGUUGUUGGGCCAACCCGUAAGGGAGGCAGGCACCGAAGGUAUGGCUGAUGAUUGGGGUGAAGUCGUAACAAGGUA